This 525-nucleotide ribosomal RNA is filed under the name uncultured bacterium. RNAcentral describes it as "bacterial SSU rRNA". It matches the Rfam family "Bacterial small subunit ribosomal RNA", at positions 61 to 569 of the family's 1533-position model. The record is from RNAcentral.
GUAGACGCUGAAGUCUGGUGCUUGCACUAGACGGAUGAGUUGCGAACGGGUGAGUAACGCGUAGGUAACCUGCCUCAUAGCGGGGGAUAACUAUUGGAAACGAUAGCUAAUACCGCAUAACAGUAUUUACCGCAUGGUAGAUGCUUGAAAGGAGCAACUGCUUCACUAUGAGAUGGACCUGCGUUGUAUUAGCUAGUUGGUGAGGUAACGGCUCACCAAGGCAUCGAUACAUAGCCGACCUGAGAGGGUGAUCGGCCACACUGGGACUGAGACACGGCCCAGACUCCUACGGGAGGCAGCAGUAGGGAAUCUUCGGCAAUGGGGGCAACCCUGACCGAGCAACGCCGCGUGAGUGAAGAAGGUUUUCGGAUCGUAAAGCUCUGUUGUAAGAGAAGAACUGUGAGAAGAGUGGAAAGUUUCUCAUUUGACGGUAUCUUACCAGAAAGGGACGGCUAACUACGUGCCAGCAGCCGCGGUAAUACGUAGGUCCCGAGCGUUGUCCGGGUUUAUUGGGCGUAAAGCGAG